Molecule: ribosomal RNA, 809 nt
Filed under: uncultured Trichoderma
Lineage: Eukaryota; Fungi; Ascomycota; Sordariomycetes; Hypocreales; Hypocreaceae
Description: eukaryotic LSU rRNA
Rfam family: 5.8S ribosomal RNA (bases 198-351)
Source: RNAcentral
GGACUACGAGGCACUCCAACCCAUGUGACGUUACCAAACUGUUGCCUCGGCGGGAUCUCUGCCCCGGGUGCGUCGCAGCCCCGGACCAAGGCGCCCGCCGGAGGACCAACCAAAACUCUUUUUGUAUACCCCCUCGCGGGUUUUUUAUAAUCUGAGCCUUCUCGGCGCCUCUCGUAGGCGUUUCGAAAAUGAAUCAAAACUUUCAACAACGGAUCUCUUGGUUCUGGCAUCGAUGAAGAACGCAGCGAAAUGCGAUAAGUAAUGUGAAUUGCAGAAUUCAGUGAAUCAUCGAAUCUUUGAACGCACAUUGCGCCCGCCAGUAUUCUGGCGGGCAUGCCUGUCCGAGCGUCAUUUCAACCCUCGAACCCCUCCGGGGGGUCGGCGUUGGGGAUCGGCCCUGCCUCUUGGCGGUGGCCGUCUCCGAAAUACAGUGGCGGUCUCGCCGCAGCCUCUCCUGCGCAGUAGUUUGCACACUCGCAUCGGGAGCGCGGCGCGUCCACAGCCGUUAAACACCCAACUUCUGAAAUGUUGACCUCGGAUCCGGUAGGAAUACCCCCUGAACUUAAGCAUAUCAAUAAGCGGAGGAACAUGUCCAUUAGCAGAGGACAUAUCAGUUGGGGGGGGGGCCGCGGGUGAGAGAGGAAGGUAAUAAAAAAGAAGGAAGUAAGACAGAUUGUGAGCGAGAAAGAACGGGAGGAGGGAGGAGAGAAACGGGGACGGGAGAGAUGGAAAAAUAGGGAAGAAAACAAAUAGAAGUAAGGAAUAAAGUAAAGAGGGAUGGAGAACAAGUAUAAUGUGGAGUGGAGGGC